This 253-nucleotide ribosomal RNA is filed under the name uncultured bacterium. RNAcentral's name for it is "partial 16S ribosomal RNA". It matches the Rfam family "Bacterial small subunit ribosomal RNA", at positions 524 to 776 of the family's 1533-position model. The record is from RNAcentral.
UACGGAGGGUGCAAGCGUUAUCCGGAUUCACUGGGUUUAAAGGGUGCGUAGGCGGAAUGGAAAGUCCGUUGUGAAAUCUCUGAGCUUAACUCGGAAAUUGCGGUGGAUACUAUCAUUCUUGAAUACUGUGGAGGUUAGCGGAAUAUGUCAUGUAGCGGUGAAAUGCAUAGAUAUGACAUAGAACACCAAUUGCGAAGGCAGCUGGCUACACAGAUAUUGACGCUGAGGCACGAAAGCGUGGGGAUCAAACAGG